Molecule: ribosomal RNA, 97 nt
Filed under: uncultured bacterium
Lineage: Bacteria
Description: partial 16S ribosomal RNA
Rfam family: Bacterial small subunit ribosomal RNA
Source: RNAcentral
CGCGCGUGGAGGAUGAAAGCCUUCGGGCUGUAAACUCCUUUUCUCAGGGAGGAAUAAUGACAGUACCUGGGGAAUAAGUCACGGCUAAACUACGUGC